Molecule: unclassified non-coding RNA, 22 nt
Filed under: Trichuris muris
Lineage: Eukaryota; Metazoa; Nematoda; Enoplea; Trichinellida; Trichuridae
Description: trans-spliced leader sequence SL-16
Source: RNAcentral
GGUUAAUUACCCAAUUUCAAAG